This 222-nucleotide ribosomal RNA is filed under the name uncultured bacterium. Its description in RNAcentral is "partial 16S ribosomal RNA". It matches the Rfam family "Bacterial small subunit ribosomal RNA", at positions 112 to 334 of the family's 1533-position model. The record is from RNAcentral.
AAUGCAUAGGUAAUUUGCCUUGAAGGUGGGGAUACGCCCGGAGAAAUCCGGAUUAAUACCGCAUAUGCUCUACGGAGCAAAGUGGGCCUCUGAUUUAAGCUCACGCUUUGAGAUAAGCCUAUGUCGGAUUAGCUAGUUGGUGGGGUAAAAGCCUACCAAGGCGACGAUCCGUAGCUGGUUUGAGAGGAUGAUCAGCCACACUGGGACUGAGACACGGCCCAG